UAAAUACUAAUACCAGAUCGAUAGUGCACAAGUACCGUGAGGGAAAGGUGAAAAGAACUGAGGUGAUCAGAGUGAAAUAGAACCUGAAACCAUUUGCUUACAAUCAUUCAGAGCCCUAUGUAGCAAUACAGGGUGAUGGACUGCCUUUUGCAUAAUGAGCCUGCGAGUUGUGGUGUCUGGCAAGGUUAAGCAAACGCGAAGCCGUAGCGAAAGCGAGUCUGAAUAGGGCGCUUAGUCAGAUGCUGCAGACCCGAAACGAAGUGAUCUAUCCAUGAGCAAGUUGAAGCUAGUGUAAGAACUAGUGGAGGACUGAACCCAUAGGCGUUGAAAAGCCCCGGGAUGACUUGUGGAUAGGGGUGAAAGGCCAAUCAAACUUCGUGAUAGCUGGUUCUCUCCGAAAUAUAUUUAGGUAUAGCGUUGUGUCGUAAUAUAAGGGGGUAGAGCACUGAAUGGGCUAGGGCAUACACCAAUGUACCAAACCCUAUCAAACUCCGAAUACCUUAUAUGUAAUCACAGCAGUCAGGCGGCGAGUGAUAAAAUCCGUCGUCAAGAGGGAAACAACCCAGACUACCAGCUAAGGUCCCUAAAUCUUACUUAAGUGGAAAACGAUGUGAAGUUACUUAAACAACCAGGAGGUUGGCUUAGAAGCAGCCAUCCUUUAAAGAAAGCGUAAUAGCUCACUGGUCUAGUGAUUUUGCGCGGAAAAUAUAACGGGGCUAAAGUAAGUACCGAAGCUGUAGACUUGCGCACAACUUAGAUUAUUUAAGUUUAGAAUAUGAGAAACUAAGUUAUAUGUUUAGUUAUAUUUUUACUGAUUUUUAUAGAGUAAAGAUAGAAAUAAAACUUAGUAAAAUCAGUAAAAAUAUUCUUAGAUUAAAGUUAAGUAGUUUAAGUUGUGUGCAAGUGGUAGGAGAGCGUUCUAUUUGCGUCGAAGGUAUACCGGUAAGGAGUGCUGGAGCGAAUAGAAGUGAGCAUGCAGGCAUGAGUAGCGAUAAUUAAUGUGAGAAUCAUUAACGCCGUAAACCCAAGGUUUCCUACGCGAUGCUCGUCAUCGUAGGGUUAGUCGGGUCCUAAGUCGAGUCCGAAAGGGGUAGACGAUGGCAAAUUGGUUAAUAUUCCAAUACCAACAUUAGUGUGCGAUGGAAGGACGCUUAGGGCUAAGGGGGCUAGCGGAUGGAAGUGCUAGUCUAAGGUCGUAGGAGGUUAUACAGGCAAAUCCGUAUAACAAUACUCCGAGAACUGAAAGGCUUUUUGAAGUCUUCGGAUGGAUAGAAGAACCCCUGAUGCCGUCGAGCCAAGAAAAGUUUCUAAGUUUAGCUAAUGUUGCCCGUACCGUAAACCGACACAGGUGGGUGGGAUGAGUAUUCUAAGGCGCGUGGAAGAACUCUCUUUAAGGAACUCUGCAAAAUAGCACCGUA
This 1418-nucleotide ribosomal RNA is filed under the name Campylobacter coli. RNAcentral's name for it is "partial 23S ribosomal RNA". It matches the Rfam family "Bacterial large subunit ribosomal RNA", at positions 467 to 1732 of the family's 2925-position model. The record is from RNAcentral. Lineage: Bacteria; Pseudomonadati; Campylobacterota; Epsilonproteobacteria; Campylobacterales; Campylobacteraceae.